Molecule: ribosomal RNA, 497 nt
Filed under: uncultured bacterium
Lineage: Bacteria
Description: partial 16S ribosomal RNA
Rfam family: Bacterial small subunit ribosomal RNA
Source: RNAcentral
GAUGAACGCUGGCGGCGUGCCUAAUACAUGCAAGUCGAGCGAACAGACGAGGAGCUUGCUCCUCUGACGUUAGCGGCGGACGGGUGAGUAACACGUGGAUAACCUACCUAUAAGACUCGGAUAACUUCGGGAAACCGUAGCUAAUACCGGAUAAUAUAUUGAACCGCAUUGUUCAAUAUUGAAAGACGGUUUUGCUGUCACUUAUAUAUGGAUCCGCGCCGCAUUAGCUAGUUGGUAAGGUAACGGCUUACCAAGGCAACGAUGCGUAGCCGACCUGAGAGGGUGAUCGGCCACACUGGAACUGAGACACGGUCCAGACUCCUACGGGAGGCAGCAGUAGGGAAUCUUCCGCAAUGGGCGAAAGCCUGACGGAGCAACGCCGCGUGAGUGAUGAAGGUCUUCGGAUCGUAAAACUCUGUUAUUAGGGAAGAACAAAUGUGUAAGUAACUAUGCACGUCUUGACGGUACCUAAUCAGAAAGCCACGGCUAACUACGUG